RNAcentral lists this ribosomal RNA (484 nucleotides) under uncultured bacterium. RNAcentral's name for it is "partial 16S ribosomal RNA". It matches the Rfam family "Bacterial small subunit ribosomal RNA", at positions 30 to 507 of the family's 1533-position model. The record is from RNAcentral.
AUUGAAUGCUGGCGGCAGGCCUAACACAUGCAAGUCGAGCGGAUGAAGGGAGCUUGCUCCUGGAUUCAGCGGCGGACGGGUGAGUAAUGCCUAGGAAUCUGCCUGGUAGUGGGGGAUAACGUCCGGAAACGGGCGCUAAUACCGCAUACGUCCUGAGGGAGAAAGUGGGGGAUCUUCGGACCUCACGCUAUCAGAUGAGCCUAGGUCGGAUUAGCUAGUUGGUGGGGUAAAGGCCUACCAAGGCGACGAUCCGUAACUGGUCUGAGAGGAUGAUCAGUCACACUGGAACUGAGACACGGUCCAGACUCCUACGGGAGGCAGCAGUGGGGAAUAUUGGACAAUGGGCGAAAGCCUGAUCCAGCCAGGCCGCGUGUGUGAAGAAGGUCUUCGGAUUGUAAAGCACUUUAAGUUGGGAGGAAGGGCAGUAAGUUAAUACCUUGCUGUUUUGACGUUACCAACAGAAUAAGCACCGGCUAACUUCGUG